This 2747-nucleotide small RNA is filed under the name Oryza sativa Japonica Group (Japanese rice). RNAcentral describes it as "sRNA Os11g0526900". Lineage: Eukaryota; Viridiplantae; Streptophyta; Magnoliopsida; Poales; Poaceae. The record is from RNAcentral.
GAUAUCCAAUCCCCAAAGCCUCCACUAAAGUAGUACUAGUAUUCUAGAAGCUUCGGAUGGAGCGCCGCCACCGUCCUCGCGCCGCCGCCGCCGCCGCCGCUUCUGCCUCCGUCUCCGCCGCCGCCCACCACCCGGGGGGAGUGCGUGUACAUCCCUACCAUACGUCGGCAGGGGUGGUGAAGGGGAAGCUCCACACCCGCAAGGCCGCGACGACGUAGUACUACCACGUCAGUUCGAACAACUCCAUCCAGGAGGUUCAUCAAGGAGUAGUUGGGGGUCAGAUUCCAAGGAUUGGUUGGCAGAUUGAUCCAAUUUCGCACUCUGCAAUUCAGGAUUACUGCCUAGGAAUUGAUGAUUUUUUUUCUCCGGGUUGAUUACCAAGAUAGUGAUACGCGGAAAGGGAACAGAAGAACUCGAGGUUGUGAGAGGGGCUCCAAGACUCUCGGCUCGUCAGCUGAUUUAAGCAAAUAUUAUGACGACAAACCAUGCCAUGAUUACAAUGGAUACAGACUUCAAAAUUCAAUUAUGAUUUAUCAUUAUGGAUAAAGUUGGUUCAGAAUGAUGGACAAACUAAUUCAUUAUGUCAAUAAGGUUAAAGAUGAUCAUUAAUAUUACUAAUACUGACUAUUGUUUAGUUUCUUUGUUUUGGUUUCACCAUGAAGUUGCAGUCAUGGCAUUACAUAAUGCAGAUAUCUUGAACUUGUGAUAUGAUGAUUUCAACGUGUUUAUUCCAUUCCCUUAAUUGGCCAUGCCAAUGCUCUCUAUUCCAUGUCUUCCAUUUAUACUGAUGCAAAAUAUGCUUAAAUGAGCCAUGGCCUCUCAAGACAAAUGAUUUCUACCUGUAUGUUCUAUUUUCAUAUUCAUAAUUGGUAUGGGUAAUUUCACUUUGUUUCUUUCACAUGCAUUUGACUGUAUUUCUUACACCUGGUAUGCGGACAACCCGAAUGCCUGGACUGGUUCCUUCACAAGAAGACCUUCCUUAAAACAACAGUCCGUGCUAUGAUUGGUGGUUUUACCACCCUUUUCAUUAUUCUGGCUUUCACAUGUCCAAUUUAAAUGUGAUAUAUUUUCUUGUUCCCUUGGUACUUUGUGGUGCCAUAUGCUUAAUAUCUUAUUUCUUUUCACUUUUCAGGCAUCUUGGCUUCUGGAAUUCUUUUAAGGGGAAAGCAAAUUAAAUCUCACAACAGAUACUUUAGCUGAUGCUCUAGCUCUUGCUCAGCACCAUGAUGCUGUUACAGGAACAGAGAAGCAACAUAUCACAAAUGACUAUGCGAUGAGAUUAUCAAUUGGCUAUACACAAGUGAGCUCUCAAGAAUAUUCUUAUUCAUAUUUGAUGUCUUCUUUUGGGAUUUGAUCUCUUCAAUGAGUCAGGCUCAAAAUAGCGUGUCCAUCCCAAACAACAAAAAUUGGUCAGUGCCUGCUCUGUACAUCCCCAUGGAUUAGCAGGAGGAAGAAGAAGGAAGAGGCAGAGAAGAACAGCUAAUUCCCUCAUUCAUUGCUUAACAGCGUAUAUGUGGCUUCAACUGACAAGUAUGAAAGAUUGGAUGCAUCAGGCUGCCCUCUGGAUGUUGUAAUUUGUAUGCAUUUGGACCAUUUCGAGCAAGAACAUCAUAGGGGCCGAGAAUUUAUAGACCCACUUAAGAUAUGACAUAUUGACAACUGAAGAUUGAGUAUAAGGUUGCAGCUUGCCAGCCUCAGAUAUACACUGGCGAUUCAGUAUAAGGUUGCAGCUUCAGAUAUUCUUUGUCACCCACAGGAAACUCCAGCAGAUAUCUGCUUUUAUCAGCAAUAUUCUUCAUUCUCAAAUGUUCUCUAGCCAACUGAUUCUUCAAAAAUUCAGAAUAAGCAGCCCUUGUUGUCAGCAUAUCAGUGGCUUCAUUAUCAGCUGAAGCAACUAGGUUCAGUGCCAAACAAUGCCUUGUGAGGGGAGCUACCCAAGGCUGUGGAUGGAGUGCGGUACUAGGUUCAAUUGAGUAUCAAGCUUCGCAAGCAAGUCGUUCCAAAAUUACUGUAUAUCCCUCAAUGUGAGGCAAGCCCUCUAUAAAAUUCAUGGAUAAAUCUUACCAAGCAGUGAAGAACCUUCAGUGACUGGUGGAAGGGUGAGAAGUCCAGGUAAGGACUCCAUUCAUCAACAGACAACAUGACAGUGAGGAAUCCUUUACCAUAAAUGAAAAUCUUCUGAUUUUGUGGGCUAAAGGCUGUUCAAUUAAGCCACUGGAUGACCAUUUUGACUCAGCGCAAAGGUUGACCGUUGGAUUUGCCACUGGGAAUUCAUGCUGCCUUGUCCUGGAGAAGGCAUGAUAUCACGCUGUCCCCAUUCCCCAAUGCCUUUUGGCGGUGCUUUCCAGCCCAGAUUGGUCGAUUCUGCACAGUGAGAAGUAAUCAAGUAAAGAUGUGGUGCAGGCCAUGAAAUGUACAAACAGGAAGACAGAUAAAUAUAUUGAGGCAUAAUUGCGUCGAACUCUCAGCUUUUCUGAGAUUAUAUUAAGUAAAUUUUCUCACCUCUUUUGCCGUGGAUAACCUUCUGUGAGUGUCAGAUCAGAAAUCAGUUGUGUUCAGAUGAAAUCUGCUUCCUGUAAACUCAGGCAUGAGACUGUAGCAUAUGCAUUCUCUAGCAAAAGCCUAUUAUUAGCCUUAGAUGGCAGGAUUUUUGCUUAUUUUCUAUGUUUUCUUAUCUCUCUUACGUGUUUCUUUUGUGUUCUCUCUUUUAUAUUAUUCUUGAAUCUUGACUUCUCUUAAAAGUCUGG